AAAAACUUAUUUUAUACUUAAUAGAAGUAUAAUAUUAACUCUUAAGUGUUUGUUUAAUCUACCGUUUUGACGCAAAAUGUAUUCUACGAAACUUUUUUCAACAAUCCAACCGUCAAAAUUAUUUGUACACAUUCCGAGAUUGCAUACGUAAAAAAUCAUAAAAAAUAAAGAUUCAGAGAUUACGUAACGGAACAAAAGUUUUCGACGGUUAUAAAUGAAAAAUCACAAUUUAACGGUUAUUUUAGCUCCGAUUUUGAUGAUUUUUUACAGAUACACUCCUCGACCCUAUAAGAAUGUAAUGAAUAAAUUUGAUCUUUAAUUUAAAAUAUUUACACUAGUGGAUACCACAAAAACUUAUUUUAUACUUGAUAGAAGUAUAAUAUUAACUCUAAGUGUUUGUUUAAUCUACUGUUUUGACGCAAUAUGCAUUCUACGAAACAUUUUUCAACGAUCCAACUGUCAAACUUAUUUGUACACAUUCCGAGAUCGCAUACGUAAAAAAAUGUAAAAAACAAACAUUCAGAGAUUACGUAACGGAACAAAAGGUUUCGACGGUUAUAAACGAAAAAUCACAAUUUAACGGUUAUUUUAGCUCUGAUUUUGAUGAUUUUUUACAGAUACACUCCUCGACCCUAUAAGAAUGUAAUGAAUAAAUUUGAUCUUUAAUUUAAAGUAUUUACACUAGUGGAUACCACAAAAUCUUUUUUUAUACUUAAUAGAAGUAUAAUAUUAACUUUAAGUGUUUGUUUAAUCUACUAUUAUGACGCAAUAUGCAUUCUACGA
This 783-nucleotide long non-coding RNA is filed under the name Malus domestica (apple). RNAcentral describes it as "long non-coding RNA (MDOM_LNC018418)". The record is from RNAcentral. Lineage: Eukaryota; Viridiplantae; Streptophyta; Magnoliopsida; Rosales; Rosaceae.